This 387-nucleotide long non-coding RNA is filed under the name Pelobates cultripes (western spadefoot toad). The record is from RNAcentral. Lineage: Eukaryota; Metazoa; Chordata; Amphibia; Anura; Pelobatidae.
GGGCAUUCUACAAUAUCACAGUAAUCAAAAGUGAAUGUAGCCACAUGGGUACAUGAUGAAUUAUACCAGAAAGUGUACCCACUAGCAUCUUUGGUGAUGGCCACCUGCUGGGCUUUAAGGAGGCCAACUAAGGAGAUAAUGUACCAGAGGCACAUGAUUGCAUAGAGUUAGCUUCCUCUGGGGCAGGUGUCUUCUUGCAAUGGGAAGCGUGGAUCCAGUUAGGCCUUCCGGCCAAUUUGACAGAGGUAGGGGAGAUCAGGAGAACUUGGAAUGGUCCGUCAAAUCUUGGUUCCAGGGUGUGUUUUCGCACAAAUUUCUUGACCAGAACCCAGUCACCGGGGAGCAGACUGUGGUUGCCUGUGUCAGAAUCAGGAUCUGGAAUUGAAG